This 253-nucleotide ribosomal RNA is filed under the name uncultured bacterium. RNAcentral's name for it is "partial 16S ribosomal RNA". It matches the Rfam family "Bacterial small subunit ribosomal RNA", at positions 524 to 776 of the family's 1533-position model. The record is from RNAcentral.
UACGGGGGGGGCAAGCGUUGUUCGGAAUUACUGGGCGUAAAGGGCUCGUAGGUGGCCAACUAAGUCGGACGUGAAAUCCCUCGGCUUAACCGGGGAACUGCAUCCGAUACUGGAUGGCUUGAGUUCGGGAGAGGGAUGCGGAAUUCCAGGUGUAGCGGUGAAAUGCGUAGAUAUCAGGAGGAACACCGGUGGUGUAGACGGCUUACUAGACCAUGACUGACGCUGAGGCACGAAAGCGUGGGUAGCAAACAGG